UGAGGUUAAGUGACUAAGCGUACACGGUGGAUGCCUAGGCAGUCAGAGGCGAUGAAGGGCGUGCUAAUCUGCGAAAAGCGUCGGUAAGGUGAUAUGAACCGUUACAACCGGCGAUACCCGAAUGGGGAAACCCAGUGUGUUUCGACACACUAUCAUGUCAUGAAUACAUAGUGGCAUGAGGCGAACCGGGGGAACUGAAACAUCUAAGUACCCCGAGGAAAAGAAAUCAACCGAGAUUCCCCCAGUAGCGGCGAGCGAACGGGGAGGAGCCCAGAACCUGAAUCGGCUUGUGUGUUAGUGGAAGCGUCUGGAAAGUCGCGCAGCAAAGGGUGAUAGCCCCGUACACUAAAAUGCACAGGUCGUGAGUUCGAUGAGUAGGGCGGGACACGUGACAUCCUGUCUGAAUAUGGGGGGACCAUCCUCCAAGGCUAAAUACUCCUGACUGACCGAUAGUGAACCAGUACCGUGAGGGAAAGGCGAAAAGAACCCCGGCGAGGGGAGUGAAAUAGAACCUGAAACCGUGUACGUACAAGCAGUGGGAGCACCUUCGUGGUGUGACUGCGUACCUUUUGUAUAAUGGGUCAGCGACUUAUAUUUUGUAGCAAGGUUAACCGUAUAGGGGAGCCGUAGGGAAACCGAGUCUUAACUGGGCGAAUAGUUGCAAGGUAUAGACCCGAAACCCGGUGAUCUAGCCAUGGGCAGGUUGAAGGUUGGGUAACACUAACUGGAGGACCGAACCGACUAAUGUUGAAAAAUUAGCGGAUGACUUGUGGCUGGGGGUGAAAGGCCAAUCAAACCGGGAGAUAGCUGGUUCUCCCCGAAAGCUAUUUAGGUAGCGCCUCGUGAACUCAUCUUCGGGGGUAGAGCACUGUUUCGGCUAGGGGGCCAUCCCGGCUUACCAAACCGAUGCAAACUCCGAAUACCGAAGAAUGUUAUCACGGGAGACACACGGCGGGUGCUAACGUCCGUCGUGAAGAGGGAAACAACCCAGACCGCCAGCUAAGGUCCCAAAGUCAUGGUUAAGUGGGAAACGAUGUGGGAAGGCAUAGACAGCCAGGAUGUUGGCUUAGAAGCAGCCAUCAUUUAAAGAAAGCGUAAUAGCUCACUGGUCGAGUCGGCCUGCGCGGAAGAUGUAACGGGGCUAAACCAUGCACCGAAGCUGCGGCAGCGACGCUUAGGCGUUGUUGGGUAGGGGAGCGUUCUGUAAGCCGUUGAAGGUGGCCUGUGAGGGUUGCUGGAGGUAUCAGAAGUGCGAAUGCUGACAUAAGUAACGAUAAAGCGGGUGAAAAGCCCGCUCGCCGGAAGACCAAGGGUUCCUGUCCAACGUUAAUCGGGGCAGGGUGAGUCGACCCCUAAGGCGAGGCUGAAAAGCGUAGUCGAUGGGAAACAGGUUAAUAUUCCUGUACUUGGUGUUACUGCGAAGGGGGGACGGAGAAGGCUAGGCUAGCCGGGCGACGGUUGUCCCGGUUUAAGCGUGUAGGGGGUGUGACCUGGUAAAUCCGGUUACAUACUAACCCUGAGGCGUGAUGACGAUGCACUACGGUGCAGAAGUAGUUGAUGCCCUGCUUCCAGGAAAAGCCUCUAAGCUCUAGGUAACAUUAAAUCGUACCCCAAACCGACACAGGUGGUCAGGUAGAGAAUACCAAGGCGCUUGAGAGAACUCGGGUGAAGGAACUAGGCAAAAUGGUGCCGUAACUUCGGGAGAAGGCACGCUGGCAUGUAGGUGAAGUCCUUCGCGGAUGGAGCUGAAGCCAGUCGAAGAUACCAGCUGGCUGCAACUGUUUAAUAAAAACACAGCACUGUGCAAACACGAAAGUGGACGUAUACGGUGUGACGCCUGCCCGGUGCUGGAAGGUUAAUUGAUGGGGUCAGCCGCAAGGCGAAGCUCUUGAUCGAAGCCCCAGUAAACGGCGGCCGUAACUAUAACGGUCCUAAGGUAGCGAAAUUCCUUGUCGGGUAAGUUCCGACCUGCACGAAUGGCGUAAUGAUGGCCAGGCUGUCUCCACCCGAGACUCAGUGAAAUUGAACUCGCUGUGAAGAUGCAGUGUACCCGCGGCAAGACGGAAAGACCCCGUGAACCUUUACUAUAGCUUGACACUGAACAUUGAGCCUUGAUGUGUAGGAUAGGUGGGAGGCUUUGAAGCGUGGACGCCAGUCUGCGUGGAGCCAUCCUUGAAAUACCACCCUUUAAUGUUUGAUGUUCUAACUCGGCCCCGUGAUCCGGGGUGAGGACAGUGUCUGGUGGGUAGUUUGACUGGGGCGGUCUCCUCCCAAAGAGUAACGGAGGAGCACGAAGGUUAGCUAAUCACGGUCGGACAUCGUGAGGUUAGUGCAAAGGCAUAAGCUAGCUUGACUGCGAGAGUGACGGCUCGAGCAGGUACGAAAGUAGGUCUUAGUGAUCCGGUGGUUCUGAAUGGAAGGGCCAUCGCUCAACGGAUAAAAGGUACUCCGGGGAUAACAGGCUGAUACCGCCCAAGAGUUCAUAUCGACGGCGGUGUUUGGCACCUCGAUGUCGGCUCAUCACAUCCUGGGGCUGAAGUAGGUCCCAAGGGUAUGGCUGUUCGCCAUUUAAAGUGGUACGCGAGCUGGGUUUAGAACGUCGUGAGACAGUUCGGUCCCUAUCUGCCGUGGGCGUUGGAAGAUUGAGAGGGGUUGCUCCUAGUACGAGAGGACCGGAGUGAACGCACCACUGGUGUUCGGGUUGUCAUGCCAAUGGCAUUGCCCGGUAGCUAAGUGCGGAAAAGAUAAGCGCUGAAAGCAUCUAAGCGCGAAACUUGCCUCAAGAUGAGUCUUCCCUGGGCCUUUAAGGCCCCUGAAGGAACGUUUAAGACUAAGACGUUGAUAGGCUGGGUGUGUAAGUGCAGCGAUGCAUUGAGCUAACCAGUACUAAUGAUCCGUGAGGCUUAACCUU
This 2911-nucleotide ribosomal RNA is filed under the name Serratia marcescens. RNAcentral's name for it is "23S ribosomal RNA". It matches the Rfam family "Bacterial large subunit ribosomal RNA". The record is from RNAcentral. Lineage: Bacteria; Pseudomonadati; Pseudomonadota; Gammaproteobacteria; Enterobacterales; Yersiniaceae.